GGAACACUUCAGCAAAACUAAUCAACAAAUUAUUAAUAUUUGGAACCUGAUGAUGGGUUCUGAUCCUGUCCAUUGUUACCAACCCAACUUAAGAAUGCAGAUAUCAGCCCUCAGACUACUUGGUGCUAAUGACAUAAACUGAGAUCUUUGGCCUUCAAACUCCCAGUUAAUUGGUUUCAUUCAAUUGAAGAUCUUGGUCAAUCACGCUCCAUUGAAUUGCCACAAAUGACUCUCAGUGGCUCAAACUCCCAAAUGGGGAUCACCAAAUACUAUACUUUCUGCAUCCCUCCAUCAUCAUGCUGUGCCAUUUUGCUUUUCCCAGUAGGCAUGGUGAUAAACAUGCCAGCAUUUCAGUGUGGAUAAUGA
This 366-nucleotide long non-coding RNA is filed under the name Sarcophilus harrisii (Tasmanian devil). RNAcentral describes it as "lncRNA (ENSSHAG00000029166.1)". Lineage: Eukaryota; Metazoa; Chordata; Mammalia; Dasyuromorphia; Dasyuridae. The record is from RNAcentral.